This is a non-coding RNA of Acanthosepion pharaonis, 108 nucleotides long. Lineage: Eukaryota; Metazoa; Mollusca; Cephalopoda; Sepiida; Sepiidae. The record is from the annotation of a GenBank genome assembly.
UUAUGGCUAUACCAAAUUUAAACACUGGUUCCCUCAUUCAAUCAGCAAAGUUAAACAAUGUCAAGCCUAGUCAGUACCUGGAUGGGUGACCACAUGGGAAUACCAUGU